This 84-nucleotide transfer RNA is filed under the name Candidatus Omnitrophota bacterium. RNAcentral's name for it is "tRNA-Ser". It matches the Rfam family "tRNA". Rfam says of the family: Transfer RNA (tRNA) molecules are approximately 80 nucleotides in length. Their secondary structure includes four short double-helical elements and three loops (D, anti-codon, and T loops). The record is from RNAcentral. Lineage: Bacteria; Pseudomonadati; Candidatus Omnitrophota.
GGAGGGCUGCGCCGAAUUGGCAAGGCAGCGGUCUUGAAAACCGCCGUCCGAAAGGACUUGGGGGUUCGAGUCCCUCGCCCUCCG